This 400-nucleotide ribosomal RNA is filed under the name uncultured bacterium. Its description in RNAcentral is "bacterial SSU rRNA". It matches the Rfam family "Bacterial small subunit ribosomal RNA", at positions 356 to 773 of the family's 1533-position model. The record is from RNAcentral.
GGGGAAUAUUGCACAAUGGGCGAAAGCCUGAUGCAGCAACGCCGCGUGAGUGAUGACGGUCUUCGGAUUGUAAAGCUCCGUCUUCAGGGACGAUAAUGACGGUACCUGAGGAGGAAGCCACGGCUAACUACGUGCCAGCAGCCGCGGUAAUACGUAGGUGGCAAGCGUUGUCCGGAAUUACUGGGCGUAAAGGGUGCGCAGGCGGACAUUUAAGUGAGAUGUGAAAGACCCGGGCUUAACUUGGGCAGUGCAUUUCAAACUGGAUGUCUGGAGUGCAGGAGAGGAGAACGGAAUUCCUAGUGUAGCGGUGAAAUGCGUAGAGAUGUGGAGGAACACCAGUGGCGAAGGCGGCUCUCUGGUCUGUAACUGACGCUGAGGCGCGAAAGCGUGGGGAGCAAAC